This 675-nucleotide ribosomal RNA is filed under the name bacterium HB-132. RNAcentral's name for it is "bacterial SSU rRNA". It matches the Rfam family "Bacterial small subunit ribosomal RNA", at positions 590 to 1257 of the family's 1533-position model. The record is from RNAcentral.
GGUUGUGAAAGCCCCGGGCUCAACCUGGGAACGGCAUCCGGAACUGUCAAGCUAGAGUGCAGGAGAGGAAGGUAGAAUUCCCGGUGUAGCGGUGAAAUGCGUAGAGAUCGGGAGGAAUACCAGUGGCGAAGGCGGCCUUCUGGACUGACACUGACACUGAGGUGCGAAAGCGUGGGUAGCAAACAGGAUUAGAUACCCUGGUAGUCCACGCCGUAAACGAUGUCGACCAGCCGUUGGGUGCCUAGCGCACUUUGUGGCGAAGUUAACGCGAUAAGUCGACCGCCUGGGGGAGUACGGCCGCAAGGUUAAAACUCAAAUGAAUUGACGGGGGCCCGCACAAGCGGUGGAGCAUGUGGUUUAAUUCGAUGCAACGCGAAGAACCUUACCUACUCUUGACAUCCUGCGAACUUGUGAGAGAUCACUUGGUGCCUUCGGGAACGCAGAGACAGGUGCUGCAUGGCUGUCGUCAGCUCGUGUUGUGAAAUGUUGGGUUAAGUCCCCGUAACGAGCGCAACCCCUUGUCCUUAUUUUGCCAGCGGGUAAUGCCGGGAACUCUAAGGAGACUGCCGGUGACAACCGGAGGGAAGGUGGGGGACGACGUCAAGUCAUCAUGGCCCCUUACGAGUAGGGCUACACACGUGCUACAAUGGCCGGGUACAAAGGGUUGCGAGCUCG